This 253-nucleotide ribosomal RNA is filed under the name uncultured bacterium. Its description in RNAcentral is "partial 16S ribosomal RNA". It matches the Rfam family "Bacterial small subunit ribosomal RNA", at positions 524 to 776 of the family's 1533-position model. The record is from RNAcentral.
GACAGAGGGUGCAAGCGUUGUUCGGAAUCAUUGGGCGUAAAGCGCGCGUAGGCGGCUCCGUAAGUUGAGUGUGAAAACCCAGGGCUCAACCUUGGAAGUGCACUCAAGACUGCAGAGCUUGAAUCUCGGAGAGGGUGGUGGAAUUCCCAGUGUAGAGGUGAAAUUCGUAGAUAUUGGGAGGAACACCAGAGGCGAAGGCGACCACCUGGACGAAGAUUGACGCUGAGGCGCGAAAGCGUGGGUAGCAAACAGG